Molecule: ribosomal RNA, 512 nt
Filed under: uncultured bacterium
Lineage: Bacteria
Description: partial 16S ribosomal RNA
Rfam family: Bacterial small subunit ribosomal RNA
Source: RNAcentral
GAUGAACGCUGGCGGCGUGCCUAAUACAUGCAAGUCGAACGAAACUUCUUUAUCACCGAGUGCUUGCACUCACCGAUAAAGAGUUGAGUGGCGAACGGGUGAGUAACACGUGGGCAACCUGCCCAAAAGAGGGGGAUAACACUUGGAAACAGGUGCUAAUACCGCAUAACCAUAGUUACCGCAUGGUAACUAUGUAAAAGGUGGCUAUACUACCGCUUUUGGAUGGGCCCGCGGCGCAUUAGCUAGUUGGUAGGGUAAAGGCUUACCAAGGCAAUGAUGCGUAGCCGAAUUGAGAGGUUGAUCGGCCACAUUGGGACUGAGACACGGCCCAAACUCCUACGGGAGGCAGCAGUAGGGAAUCUUCCACAAUGGGCGAAAGCCUGAUGGAGCAACGCCGCGUGGGUGAAGAAGGUCUUCGGAUCGUAAAACCCUGUUGUUAGAGAAGAAAGUGCGUGAGAGUAACUGUUCACGUUUCGACGGUAUCUAACCGGAAAGCCACGGCUAACUAUGUG